RNAcentral lists this ribosomal RNA (480 nucleotides) under Achromobacter xylosoxidans. RNAcentral's name for it is "partial 16S ribosomal RNA". It matches the Rfam family "Bacterial small subunit ribosomal RNA", at positions 191 to 652 of the family's 1533-position model. The record is from RNAcentral. Lineage: Bacteria; Pseudomonadati; Pseudomonadota; Betaproteobacteria; Burkholderiales; Alcaligenaceae.
GCCCUACGGGGGAAAGCAGGGGAUCUUCGGACCUUGCACUAUUGGAGCGGCCGAUAUCGGAUUANNUAGUUGGUGGGGUAACGGCCUACCAAGGCGACGAUCCGUAGCUGGUUUGAGAGGACGACCAGCCACACUGGGACUGAGNNACGGCCCAGNCUCCUACGGGAGGCAGCAGUGGGGAAUUUUGGACAAUGGGGGAAACCCUGAUCCAGCCAUCCCGCGUGUGCGAUGANNNCCUUCGGGUUGUAAAGCACUUUUGGCAGGAAAGAAACGUCGCGGGCUAAUACCCCNNNAAACUGACGGUACCUGCAGAAUAAGCACCGGCUAACUACGUGCCAGCAGCCGCGGUAAUACGUAGGGUGCAAGCGUUAAUCGGAAUUACUGGGCGUAAAGCGUGCGCAGGCGGUUCGGAAAGAAAGAUGUGAAAUCCNNNNNCUUAACUUUGGAACUGCAUUUUUAACUACCGGGCUAGAGUGUGUC